GUGAGGCUUCCUGUGACGCAGCAAGAAGUAACGGUUGAUUUGUCUCUCUUGAAGUUUGCUCUGCCUGUGGGUCUGGAUUUCCUCUCUUGUGUUUCCUGUCAGAACAGCAGACAGCUCAGCACAGGGACGGACAGCCAUGCCCUCUCUCGUUCUCUGGAUCCUGGCCCCAGACACCACCCUGUACAGCUGGAAUCCUACUUCCUCCAGGGUGAUGGCUCCUUGGCCCAAACCUGCCUUGGUCUCCUUCUGGCUCAUGUCUCUCUGCUCCAUCACCCUGGCUGGAGUUCACCAUAUCUCCUAUUUCCAGCUCAUCUCCCCGCAGGCGGCCUCUGGUCUGCCCAAGCGACUGCAAGUGAUGAGGGUGAAUGACCUGGUGCUCUCAGUCUAUGACAGCAACACACGCAGGCGAGUUCCCCGCAAUGGGUACAGCCCAGGGAACCAGGAAAGCCAGCAGUUCUGGAAUGCACACACGGCUGGGUGCCUGGCCUGGGACUCCUGGGUGGAGUACCAGGGCCUGGUGCGGGAUCUGAACACCAGCUCCCCAAAGGCGGAGCCCUACUACAUGCAAGUCCUAAAGACCUGUGAGCUGGACGAUGCCACUGGUGCUGUCCGAGCUGUCACCAGAUAUUCCCUCAAUGGGGAGGACAUGCUGCAGCAUCAGACUGAUCAGAAUCGCUGGUUCUCAGUGCACCCAGCAGCCUGGUGA
Gopherus agassizii (Agassiz's desert tortoise) is the source of this 706-nucleotide long non-coding RNA. The record is from Ensembl. NCBI's taxonomy places the organism in Eukaryota, Metazoa, Chordata, Testudines, Testudinidae.